This 862-nucleotide ribosomal RNA is filed under the name uncultured archaeon. RNAcentral describes it as "SSU rRNA". It matches the Rfam family "Archaeal small subunit ribosomal RNA", at positions 474 to 1337 of the family's 1478-position model. The record is from RNAcentral.
UACCAGCUCUCCGAGUGGUAGGGACGAUUAUUGGGCCUAAAGCGUCCGUAGCCGGCCAAGCAAGUUUCCCGUUAAAUCCAGCGAUCCAAUCGUUGGACUGCGGGAAAUACUGUUUGGCUAGGGGGCGAGAGAGGCCAACGGUACUCUCGGGGUAGGGGUGAAAUCCUAUAAUCCCGGGAAGACCACCAGUGGCGAAGGCUGUUGGCUAGAACGCGCUCGACGGUGAGGGACGAAAGCUGGGGGAGCGAACCGGAUUAGAUACCCGGGUAGUCCCAGCUGUAAACGAUGCGGGCUAGGUGUUAGGGCGGCUACGAGCCGCUCUAGUGCCGCAGGGAAGCCAUUAAGCCCGCCGCCUGGGGAGUACGGCCGCAAGGCUGAAACUUAAAGGAAUUGGCGGGGGAGCACCACCAGGGGUGAAGCUUGCGGUUUAAUUGGAGUCAACACCGGAAACCUUACCGGGGGCGACAGCAGAGUGAAGGCCAGAUUAAGGGUCUUGCCAGACAAGCUGAGGGGAGGUGCAUGGCCGUCGCCAGUUCGUGCCGUGAGGUGUCCUGUUAAGUCAGGCAACGAUCGAGACCCACACCCCCUGUUGCCACUGAGGAAAUUUUCCGAUGGGGCACUCUGGGAGGACUGCCGCCGAUAAGGCGGAGGAAGGAGUGGGCCACGGCAGGUCAGUAUGCCCCGAAUCCCCCGGGCCACACGCGAGCUGCAAUGGUAGGGACAAUGGGUUCCAACCCCGAAAGGGGACGGUAAUCCUCAAACCCUGCCUCAGUUGGGAUCGAGGGCUGUAACCCGCCCUCGUGAACAUGGAAUCCCUAGUAAUCGCGCGUCAUCAGCGCGCGGUGAAUACGUCCCCGCUCCU